Molecule: transfer RNA, 69 nt
Filed under: Dryococelus australis
Lineage: Eukaryota; Metazoa; Arthropoda; Insecta; Phasmatodea; Phasmatidae
Description: tRNA-OTHER
Source: RNAcentral
GCAGAGUCGCACAGUGGAAGCAUGCUGGACCCAUAACCCAGAAGUCCGUGGAUAGAACCCACGUCAGCA